Non-coding RNA from Maylandia zebra (zebra mbuna), 442 nucleotides. The record is from the annotation of a RefSeq genome assembly. Lineage: Eukaryota; Metazoa; Chordata; Actinopteri; Cichliformes; Cichlidae.
UAAACUGCACAAACAUUCUGAUUAUAAAGUGUUCUAAAUUAUGGACUAUAUUGCUUCCUGGAGUUUAUUAUUCAUUAUAUGUUUCCAUGGAGUUUGGAGUGAGAUCAAACUGGAGCAGUCUCCCUCUGAGGUGAAAAGGCCUGGAGAGAGAGUGAAGAUGUCAUGCAUCCUGUCUGGUUAUAGCCCAACAAGUUAUGAUAUAGGCUGGAUACGACAGAGACCAGGGAGAGCUCUGGAGUGGAUUGGCUGGAUGAGCACAGGCUCAAACUCUGCUCGCUAUGCCAGUUCUUUUCAAAGUCGUUUCAUCAUAACUGAAGAAGACUCCAGCAGAAGUCAGUAUCUUGAGAUUAAGAGCCUGACAGCAGAAGAUUCUGCUGUUUACUUCUGUGUAAAGUGUGAACAGUUGGCACAGUCAGCCUCUGAGACUCCAGAGCUUUGUUAA